CUAACCUUUAACAUCUGAUAUUUUUAUUAUCUAGAGCUCUGUAAAAAAAUAUAUCAAAAAAAAUUAAAAAAAAAGAAAAUACCAAAAAAUAAUAUAUGAAAACAAAAUCGUUUGUAAACAGAGUUCUAGAUAAUAAACAUUGAGGGUGGUGUAAAAGGUGGGAUUAUUGUAAUAUUUUUUAUGACCCCCACCUUAAAGUCUUCUUAUGUUAUCAUGUUUAAAACGAACAAAAAUUGCAAUGGCAAUUUAAAAAGUAUAGUUCCUAUGUGUAGGGACAGUGCCACUAUGUACGUUAAAGAACCGUUGCCACAAGUCUUUGAGGGGUCAGUAGGUGGCCAGUUGCAAGGCUUAAUUUCUGCCCAACAUAUCCUCCUCUCAGUUGGCAGUCAAAAUUUCUCUACCUUCAUCAUCGGCUCACUUUAUAGAACCUACAAAUUGAUUGGUUAUGAAAUGACGAGAUGUGAGACAACUGUCCUACAGAGACUAAAUGAUGUUGAUGUAAAAUAGGUUACUGUAUGGACUUUAACAAUGAGAAAAUCAACCAACAUUAAAAUUUUGCAAUAUUCUGAAUUAGAAUGACUUUGUUUAUACCUCUAACCUUUAACAUCUGAUAUUUUUAUUAUCUAGAGCUCUGUAAAAAAAAAUAUCAAAAAAAUAUAAAAAAAGAAAAUACCAAAAAAUAAUAUAUGAAAACAAAAUCGUUUGUAAACAGAGUUCUAGAUAAUAAACAUUGAGGGUGGUGUAAAAGGUGGGAUUAUUGUAAUAUUUUUUAUGACCCCCACCUUAAAGUCUUCUAAAGUUAUCAUUUUUAAAACAAACAAAAAUUGGAAUGGCAAUUUAAAAAGUAUAUAGUUCCUAUGUGUAGGGGACAGUGCCACUCUGCACGUUAAAGAACCCUUGCCACAAGUCUUUAAGGGGUCAGUAGGUGGCAUGUUGCAAGGCUUAAUUUCUGUCCAACAUAUGCUCCUCUCAGUUGGCAGUCAAAAUUUCCCUUACCUUCAUCAUCGGCCCACUUUAUAGAACCUACAAAUUGAUUUGUUAUGGAAUGAAGAGAUGAAAGAGAACUAUCCUACAGAGACCAAAUGAAGUUGCAUGUUACUGUAUGGACUUCAACAAUGAGAAAAUCAACUAACAUUAAAAUUUUGCAAUAUUCUGAAUUAGAAUGACUUUGUUAAUACCUCUAACCUUUAACAUCUGAUAUUUUUAUUAUCUAGAGCUCUGUAAAAAAAAUAUCAAAAAAAAUAUCAAAAAAGAAAAUACCAAAAAAUAAUAUAUGAAAACAAAAUUGUUUGUAAACAGAGUUCUAGAUAAUAAACAUUGAGGGUGGUGUAAAAGGUGGGAUUAUUGUAAUAUUUUUUAUGACCCCCACCUUAAAGUCUUCUUAUGUUAUCAUGUUUAAAACAAACAAAAAUUGGAAUGACAAUUUAAAAAGUAUAGUUCCUAUGUGUAGGGACAGUGCCACUAUGUACGUUAAAGAACCCUUGCCACAAGUCUUUGAGGGGUCAGUAGGUGGCCUGUUACAAGGCUUAAUUUCUGCCCAACAUAUCCUCCUCUCAGUUGGCAGUCAAAAUUUCCCUUACCUUCAUCAUCGGCCCACUUUGUAGAACCUACAAAUUGAUUGGUUAUGAAAUGAAGAGAUGUGAGACAACUGUCCUACAGAGACUAAAUGAUGUUGAUGUAAAAUAGGUUACUGUAUGGACUUCAACAAUGAGAAAAUCAACCAACAUUAAAAUUUUGCAAUAUUCUGAUUUAGAAAGACUUUGCCUCUAACCUUUAAAAUCUGAUAUUUUUAUUAUUUAGAGCUCUGUAAAAAAUAUAAAAAAAGAAAAUACCAAAAAAUAAUAUGAAAACAAAAUCGUUUGUAAACAGAGUUCUAGAUAAUAAACAUUCAGGAUGUUGUAAAAAGUAGGCAUAUUUAAAAUUUUGUUUAUUAUUAUGAAUAGUGCACUGUAUAAUUUGUAAAAAUGUAUAUUGUGAAGUCUUGGAAAAUUGUGAAACUUUAGAACUGUGUUUUUUGAGAUGUCUUUAUUCAGUCUUCAAUGAUUGUCAUGGCAAUUGAGGACAAUAGAUAUAGCUCUGUGUAGAAACUGACUUUUUUAUAUCAAGAAAGAUCCAACAAAAGUUUUCAAUGAUAUCUAAAGAGACGAAAGACAGAAAUACUAAAAGGUUUUCUAUGAGAUUGGUGGAUUAUGUACAGUCAGACAACUGGCACACUCAAGAUAAAAGUUAAAUAGCUAUUAAAAUAAAAUUAUGGACUUGUAUAAUAACAUUAAUGAAGACAGAUGUUCUAUAUAUAGUGAAGACAUGUUCCUACAUAAUGUUCUAUAGUGAAGACAUGUUCCUACAUAAUGUUCUAUAGUGAAGACAUGUUCAUACAUAAUGUUCUAUAGUGAAGACAUGUUCAUACAUAAUGUUGUAUAGUGAAGACAUGUUCCUACAUAUUGUUCUAUAGUGAAGACCUGUUCCUACAUAAUGUCUUAUAGUGAAGACGUAUUCCUACAUAUUGUUCUAUAGUGAAGACAUGUUCCUACAUAAUGUUCUAUAGAGAAGACAUGUUCCUACAUAAUGUUCUAUAGUGAAGACAGAUGUUCUAUAGCACAAACAGAUGUUCCUAAGUUGCAAUGAAGUAUUCAGAAGACAGACAGAGUUUCCUUUUGCAAUGAAAUUAUCCAGAACACAUAGUUGAUUAGAUUUCCAGUUCAUUACAUAUUCUGACGUUUUCUCAAGAAAAACACAAGAUUUCAAUUUUCAACCUGAAAGGAGAAAUUCUUAAAAUUUAUGCUGGACAUCUCAUAUCAAGGAUCCAUCACAAUAUUGAUAUUAGACUUAUGAAGAAUAUUCUGAUAAAUUAAUGAUGUACGACAAAUCGUGCUACAAGUAUCAUACCAGCAGAAUUAUUUGAUGGGAGUAAAACAUAGGAGCAGGAUCUCACCUCAUACAAGUGAGGAGGAACAAUUGAACUGAUGAACUUGGAAACAUCUGAAAGGUAUACAUAAGAAAAACAGACCACCUAGAAUAAGGAAAGAGAAAGAUUAACUCGUAGAGUAAAGGGUAGACGAAACUAUCAACACUUUGAAAUUAAUAAGAGCAAUAAUCAACAUAACAGCUGCUUCAUCACCAUCUCAGAGGUUAGGUCUCUAACUGACUCAACUGAUGAACUUAUGACAAGCUUAACAGAUUAUCAGCAUAGUUGAACAAUGAACACUUCAGAGACAAAAUAUUCUUGGCAAUUAAAAUAUAUGACUGAAAUUUCAUAAUUGUAUAUGGUCAGUGGGAGAGAGAGAAAGAUGUAGAAUGGUCAGAGUGGGAGAGGGAGAACACUUAUGAUGAUGAGUGGGGAGAAAUAAAGAACAAUUAUUGCAACUGGUAAAUUUGUCUUCAACCAAACUCAUGGCUUGUGUUGAUGUGUCUACCUUAGACAUCUGAUAUUUUUAUUAUCUAGAGCUCUGUUUAAAAAAAAGAUGUAAAAAAUAAUAUGAAAACUAAACUUAAACAGUUCUAGAUAAUAAAAAUUAAGGGUGGUGUAAAAAGUGGGCAUAUUUUAAAUUUUCUUUUUUUCACCAAUGUAUUUAUGAAAUUUAAAACUUUAAAGUCAGAAUGUUUAAUUGGACGUACAAUUGUUUUGAUUUUAGAUAUUUGGAGACAAAACCUAUUCUUCUCCAUUUGUUACACUCUAAAAGUGUCAUUUAUUUGCAAUAUUCUUAUUUUGAUUGUCUUUGCUUAUACCUCUAACCUUAGACAUCCAAUAUUUUUAUUAUCUAGAGCUCUGUAAAAAAAAUAACAAAAUUGUAAAUAGAGUUCUAGAUAAUAAACAUUAAGGGUGGUGUAAAAAGUGGUUAUAUUUUUUAUAUUUUGAAUUCUCCCCCUCCCCAAUAUAUUUACGAAAUUAAAUACAAGAGAUAUUUAUUGGUAAAUGAUUUGUGUUGGAUAAGUUUUUUCCUUUCAUUAGUGUAUUUUAAAAAAUGUUUUUCUCAAGCUGUAUAUUUUUUUUGGGUAUUGAAAAUGGCUUUGAAGUUAAUAUGUUUAAUUGGAAGCAGAAUUUUUUUAUUAUUAGAUAUUGGAGACAAAACGUAUCUUCUCUGUAUAUUUCACCUUAACAGUGUCUUAGAUUUGCAAUGUCUUUGCUUAUACCUCUAAGUUCUAACCUUAGACAUCCAAUAUUUUUAUUAUCUAGAGCUCUGUAAAAAAAAAAAAAAAAAAAAAUAAUAUGAAAACAAAAUUUCAGAGUUCUAGAUAAUAAACAUUAAGGGUGGUGUAAAAAGUGGGUAUAUUUUGAAUUCUUAAAUGGCCUUAAAGUUUGAAUGUUUAACUGGAAGUAGAAUUCUUUCGAUUUUAGAUGUUUUGAGAUAAAACCUAUCAUCUCGGUAUAUAUUUAUACUGUGUAUAACAAUGUCUUAAAUUCUGCAAUAUUGUGAUUUUGAAUGUCUUUGUUAACUCUAACUUUUAAGGACGUUAAGCAACCAACAAUCAAUCAAUCUAACUUUUAACAUUAGAAUUCCAUUCAGUAUUAAAAUAAUAUGUGAUACAAA
Mytilus californianus (California mussel) is the source of this 4529-nucleotide long non-coding RNA. RefSeq lists it as uncharacterized. The transcript has 7 exons. The record is from RefSeq and is a predicted model, not a curated record. Lineage: Eukaryota; Metazoa; Mollusca; Bivalvia; Mytilida; Mytilidae.